Molecule: signal recognition particle RNA, 299 nt
Filed under: Saimiri boliviensis boliviensis (Bolivian squirrel monkey)
Lineage: Eukaryota; Metazoa; Chordata; Mammalia; Primates; Cebidae
Description: Metazoan signal recognition particle RNA (ENSSBOG00000002456.1)
Rfam family: Metazoan signal recognition particle RNA
About the family: The signal recognition particle (SRP) is a universally conserved ribonucleoprotein. It is involved in the co-translational targeting of proteins to membranes.
Source: RNAcentral
GCCUGGCACGGUGGCACGUGCCUGUAAUCCCAGCUACUAGAGAGGCUGAGGCUGGAGGAUCACUUGAGCCCAGGAGUUCUGGGCUGUAGUGCACUAUGCCGAUCGGGUGUCUGUACUAAGUUCGGCAUCAAUAUGGUGACCUCCUGGGAGCAGGGGACCACCAGGUUGCCUAAGGAGGGGUGAACUGGCCUAGGUCGGAAACGGAGCAGGUCACAACUCCUGUGCUGAUCAGUAGUGGGAUCACGCCUGUGAAUAGCCAGUGCACUCCAGCCUGGGCAACAUAGCAAGACCCCGUCUCU